Molecule: ribosomal RNA, 253 nt
Filed under: uncultured bacterium
Lineage: Bacteria
Description: partial 16S ribosomal RNA
Rfam family: Bacterial small subunit ribosomal RNA
Source: RNAcentral
UACAGAGGUCCCAAGCGUUGUUCGGAUUCACUGGGCGUAAAGGGUGCGUAGGCGGUCGGGUAAGUCUGGCGUGAAAUCUCCAAGCCUAACUUGGAAACUGCGUUGGAUACUAUCCGGCUCGAGGAAUGGAGGGGAGACUGGAAUACUUGGUGUAGCAGUGAAAUGCGUAGAUAUCAAGUGGAACACCAGUGGCGAAGGCGAGUCUCUGGACAUUUCCUGACACUGAGGCACGAAGGCCAGGGGAGCAAACGGG